AAAGUCGUAACAAGGUUUCCGUAGGUGAACCUGCGGAAGGAUCAUUAUUGAAUUCCAAAGGAUGUUGCUGGCGUCGCGAGACGUAUGUGCACUCCGACUAUUCAAAACCCCUGUGCACUUAUUGUAGGUUGACGGAUUAAGUUCUGUUCACCUAUGUUUUUAUAAACUCGAUGUAUAGAAUGUCUAUGUAUGACCUUUGUUGGUCAAAAACAUUUAAUACAACUUUCAACAAUGGAUCUCUUGGUUCUC
This 249-nucleotide unclassified non-coding RNA is filed under the name Basidiomycota sp. RNAcentral describes it as "partial contains small subunit ribosomal RNA, internal transcribed spacer 1, and 5.8S ribosomal RNA". The stretch from base 1 to 47 matches the Rfam family "Eukaryotic small subunit ribosomal RNA", at positions 1785 to 1831 of the family's 1831-position model. Lineage: Eukaryota; Fungi; Basidiomycota. The record is from RNAcentral.